RNAcentral lists this ribosomal RNA (451 nucleotides) under uncultured bacterium. RNAcentral's name for it is "bacterial SSU rRNA". It matches the Rfam family "Bacterial small subunit ribosomal RNA", at positions 354 to 796 of the family's 1533-position model. The record is from RNAcentral.
GUGGGGAAUUUUGCGCAAUGGGCGAAAGCCUGACGCAGCGACGCCGCGUGGGUGAUGAAGGUCUUCGGAUCGUAAAACCCUGUCAUGCGGAACGAAACGCAUCGUCUCUAACAGAGGUGAUGCUUGACGGUACCGCAGGAGGAAGCCCCGGCCAACUACGUGCCAGCAGCCGCGGUAAUACGUAGGGGGCAAGCGUUAUUCGGAAUUACUGGGCGUAAAGCGCGUGUAGGUGGCUAGGCAAGUCAGGUGUGAAAUCCCUUGGCUCAACCAAGGAAUUGCGCUUGAAACUGCCUGGCUUGAGAGCGGGAGAGGGAAGUGGAAUUCCCAGUGUAGCGGUGAAAUGCGUAGAUAUUGGGAGGAACACCGGUGGCGAAGGCGGCUUCCUGGACCGUUACUGACGCUGAGACGCGAAAGCUAGGGGAGCAAACGGGAUUAGAAACCCUAGUAGUCC